AGAGUUUGAUCAUGGCUCAGAUUGAACGCUGGCGGUAGGCUUAACACAUGCAAGUCGUGCGAGAAAGUAUCUUCGGAUAUGAGUAAAGCGGCGGACGGGUGAGUAACGCGUAGGAAUCUACCUAGUAGAAGGGGAUAGCCCGAGGAAACUCGGAUUAAUACCGUAUACCUCCUUUGGGAGAAAGAGGNCCUCUCUUUGAAGCUUUCGCUACUAGAUGANCCUGCGUAAGAUUAGCUUGUUGGUGAGGUAAAGGCUCACCAAGGCUACGAUCUUUAGCGGGUCUGAGAGGACGAUCCGCCACAUUGGGACUGAGACACGGCCCAGACUCCUACNGNAGNCANCAGUGGGGAAUAUUGGACAAUGGGCNCAANCCUGAUCCANCCAUACCGCGUGUGUGAAGAAGGCCCUAGGGUUGUAAA
This 419-nucleotide ribosomal RNA is filed under the name uncultured bacterium. Its description in RNAcentral is "partial 16S ribosomal RNA". It matches the Rfam family "Bacterial small subunit ribosomal RNA", at positions 8 to 429 of the family's 1533-position model. The record is from RNAcentral.